GGGCCCGCACAAGCGGUGGAGCAUGUGGUUUAAUUCGACGCAACGCGAAGAACCUUACCUGGCCUUGACAUCCAGCGAACCCUGCAGAGAUGCGGGGGUGCCUUCGGGAACGCUGAGACAGGUGCUGCAUGGCUGUCGUCAGCUCGUGUUGUGAAAUGUUGGGUUAAGUCCCGUAACGAGCGCAACCCUUGUCCUUAAUUGCCAGCACUUCGGGUGGGAACUUUAAGGAGACUGCCGGUGACAAACCGGAGGAAGGUGGGGAUGACGUCAAGUCAUCAUGGCCCUUACGGCCAGGGCUACACACGUGCUACAAUGGGGCAUACAAAGGGCAGCAAGACCGCGAGGUGGAGCCAAUCCCAUAAAAUGCUUCGUAGUCCGGAUUGGAGUCUGCAACUCGACUCCAUGAAGUCGGAAUCGCUAGUAAUCGUGAAUCAGAAUGUCACGGUGAAUACGUUCCCGGGCCUU
RNAcentral lists this ribosomal RNA (465 nucleotides) under uncultured bacterium. RNAcentral describes it as "bacterial SSU rRNA". It matches the Rfam family "Bacterial small subunit ribosomal RNA", at positions 917 to 1382 of the family's 1533-position model. The record is from RNAcentral.